CCCUAACUGACACAAAAUUAAACCCAUAAACCCAACCACCGCGUACAACAAAGAACAACAGACCCAAACCAAAC
RNAcentral lists this transfer RNA (74 nucleotides) under Paleosuchus palpebrosus (Cuvier's dwarf caiman). RNAcentral describes it as "tRNA-Thr". The record is from RNAcentral. Lineage: Eukaryota; Metazoa; Chordata; Crocodylia; Alligatoridae.